Gasterosteus aculeatus aculeatus (three-spined stickleback) is the source of this 1350-nucleotide long non-coding RNA. The record is from Ensembl. NCBI's taxonomy places the organism in Eukaryota, Metazoa, Chordata, Actinopteri, Perciformes, Gasterosteidae.
GUGUGUUUUAGCCUCUUGUCCACUUAACCUAAUUCUGUCUGAGCUUUUUCCACAUUACAUCAGUCAAAGUUCUUUGAGACUGUGUACGCAGCCUGACUGUUUUUUUCGUGCACUUUCUGAAAGAAAUCAAGUCCUCAACUGUCUUUUUGUACAUAUUGUUUAGUUUUGUGAGGGGGGGGGGUGGAAACAGGGAUUGCCUAGAUGCCUCUACUGUUUUUGGAAUCCGAGUCUUAAUGAAAUUUCGUUUGUUUCAUUGUAAAUGCAGAGGUUUAGAAAACGGCUCUUUGUCUGUGUAAAUAUGCAUCGGGAGCACACAGGUAAAUGGGCGAGGACUGAGGACAAUCACUAAUUAUCAAUCACUAAAAUCGAUUCUACAACAUUCCAGAUGCCUUGCAUUCAAAACAUGUCUUAAAGAAGCACAACAGGUUAACAUCAUCCAAUUUGAAGGAAGAGAGUAUAUUUUAAAAAAAGCCCAAUCCCCACAGUUUAAACAAAGACACGCGUGUUGUCUUUCGAGGACUGACGACUCGGGGGACCCGGUGUUUGAGAAGUCAAUCCAACUUCUGGUUUUAAUAACUGCAUCUUUUUUAACAGCGAUAUACUAUACUCGUUCAGCUAAAAUAACUCAUUGUAACGUUGAAUAAGAACUGUAACCCACACGUAAUUGAGGCUAGUCGGCUAAUCUAGCAUAGGACGAACCAGGUUGUCUUUUUUUUUAUUGGGUAUACUAGUGAAAGACAAUGUUUUUAUGUUCACACACAGUGGCUUCAGAUGUUAGUGGUAAUUAGAGCUUCAUGCUGCAAGAGGCUUCUUAAGUACUGCCAACACUGUGAUUAAUAAAGCAGCAGUUUUACGAUAUGACAUUCCAAUAAAUGCAGAAAUGGACAGGGGGAAAGUGGAGUGCUGUGAUGAACUGUUGGGACGUGGGUUUGACUUGAUACAGAAAUGAGAUCAUGAAAUAUUCAAUAUACAAUGUAUCAAUUAAAAGCUGACCUUUGACCCAGGGUGAGGAUGAAAUGAGACCACAUUAAAGUCGUGAGCAGGCGGUAAUCUCUGCUCAGUAACGAAGCAAAAUUCUCAAUUAUUUAUUUAUGUAUCAUUGGCGUUUGGACUGCAGAUAGUCCGACGCAGCAUUUUUAUGACUAACAACUCUCCCUUCCCCUUUUUAAUCCGUCUUAAAGGUUUUCCCAUUUUGUUGUGAAUUUGUAAAUCUUACCUUCACAUGGCUGAGGAGGUACAGAAGAGACUGUUCAACAAUAGAUUAAGUGACCUCUUACCGUCCUGUGGAAAGGAAUUGAAUGUCUUCACUUAUGUGCGCUGCAAUAAACGAAUUUGUGAUCUGAUUAAAAA